AUUGAACGCUGGCGGCAGGCUUAACACAUGCAAGUCGAGCGGAGAGAGGUAGCUUGCUACUGAUCUUAGCGGCGGACGGGUGAGUAAUGCUUAGGAAUCUGCCUAUUAGUGGGGGACAACAUUUCGAAAGGAAUGCUAAUACCGCAUACGUCCUACGGGAGAAAGAAGGGGAUCUUCGGCCCUCGCGCUAAUAGAUGAGCCUAAGUCGGAUUAGCUAGUUAGUGGGGUAACGGCCUACCAAGGCGACGAUCUGUAGCGGGUCUGAGAGGAUGAUCCGCCACACUGGGACUGAGACACAGCCCAGACUCCUACGGGAGGCAGCAGUGGGGAAUAUUGGACAAUGGGCGGAAGCCUGAUCCAGCCAUGCCGCGUGUGUGAAGAAGGCCUUAUGGUUGUAAAGCACUUUAAGCGAGGAGGAGGCUACUUUAGUUAAUACCUAGAGAUAGUGGACGUUACUCGCAGAAUAAGCACCGGCUAACUCUGUGCCAGCCGCCGCGGUAA
Molecule: ribosomal RNA, 501 nt
Filed under: uncultured bacterium
Lineage: Bacteria
Description: partial 16S ribosomal RNA
Rfam family: Bacterial small subunit ribosomal RNA
Source: RNAcentral